Molecule: ribosomal RNA, 441 nt
Filed under: uncultured Lactobacillus sp.
Lineage: Bacteria; Bacillati; Bacillota; Bacilli; Lactobacillales; Lactobacillaceae
Description: bacterial SSU rRNA
Rfam family: Bacterial small subunit ribosomal RNA
Source: RNAcentral
CAGCAGUAGGGAAUCUUCCACAAUGGACGAAAGUCUGAUGGAGCAACGCCGCGUGAGUGAAGAAGGGUUUCGGCUCGUAAAGCUCUGUUGGUAGUGAAGAAAGAUAGAGGUAGUAACUGGCCUUUAUUUGACGGUAAUUACUUAGAAAGUCACGGCUAACUACGUGCCAGCAGCCGCGGUAAUACGUAGGUGGCAAGCGUUGUCCGGAUUUAUUGGGCGUAAAGCGAGCGCAGGCGGAAAGAUAAGUCUGAUGUGAAAGCCCCCGGCUUAACCGAGGAAUUGCAUCGGAAACUGUGUUUCUUGAGUGCAGAAGAGGAGAGUGGAACUCCAUGUGUAGCGGUGGAAUGCGUAGAUAUAUGGAAGAACACCAGUGGCGAAGGCGGCUCUCUGGUCUGUAACUGACGCUGAGGCUCGAAAGCAUGGGUAGCGAACAGGAUUAGA